AUAAGGCCUCUGGGUUUUCCAGUUUCUUCUUGGCCAGGGCUGGGCCCAGUGGCCCAUGAAGAGAACAUUUCUUGGCUGCGGGCUGCAGGGUGCGAGUUGGGGUGUAUAAGCAUCAUGGAAAGCAUCUAGUCUAGCAUUUUCUAAACACUUGCCUGGAACUAUACACUCAUAUAUGGUCAGAUAAGACAGGCUGUCUCCAGAGAGCCAUAAACUACAUUAAUGUAGCAAAUCAAAGCUCUGAUAAGUCCUGCAGUAAAGAGACCUGUUUAUAAUUUUGUUUCCUCUGGCACCUUUUAAAAAUCUGUACCGCCUUCCUUCCAUUUCUCAGGUGCCUCGUGAUAUCUUAAAAUUACUGUUUGGCAAAUGCUGAUUUAGUUCAACUCCUCCUAAGACCUAAGGCCAACAGUAAAACUGAAGCCCAAGAUGUGGGAGGAUUUGCCCAAGGCUGCAUAAUCAGAAGAAAAUCCAGUCAUUCUGACUCGGAACUGUCUCAGCAGGCCUGGCUUUGAAUUUCAGACGUUGCCAUGGAGGACCAGGGGAUCUCAGAUCUGCAGGACAGAUAUUAUCAUGAUCCCCAUUCUGCAGAUAAGGCAACUGAGGCUCAGAACAGUGAGAAGACUUUCUGAGCAGUCUUCCAUCGGGCAGUGUUGGGAUUUGAACCCAGGUCUCAAAGAACAUCUACGAUUUAUGGUGUAUUGGGGCCUUGCUCUGUGCCCAGCACUUUAAUAACAGCAACAUCACAGCAAUAACAAUACUGAACCCUUGUCCGCACUUGACCCCCGUCAGCUCAUUUAAUACAACAAUCCUCAUGCACCAGAGCCCCGAUUUCCAGAUAAGGAAACACAGCACGGGAAAGAGAAACAUUCUGCGCAUCCUGCUGGUUAGUGUGGCACAGCCACUUGCAGAACUCAGGCCUGGCCACCAGCCAACUCGGAACGCCCUGGCUGAACCCCUCCAUCCGCACAUGACCCCAGCGUGUCUCCUGGCCCACCACCCCCCCGCAGAGCCUGUGAUGUUUACAAUUCCGCCCUGUGAGGCUUUGAAAACUCCCCCUACACGCCGCCUGCCCCGCCAGGGCUUGUAUCCGCCCAGCCUGCCUUGCAAUGGCUUUUAUUGAUUCUCUGGCCUGCCAGCCUGUGCUGGGAACACACUCUUUUUAAUGGAGCGUUAAUUGGGAGGGAAGAGAGAGAAAGCUGUUCCCCUGCCCAGCAGGGACUGAGUCUCCUGUCUCCUCCUCCUUUCUCCCAGGCUGGGAUGUGGCGGCAAGGACCCCGGGCCUGGCGUCCUGGGCAGGCCUAGACUCUUCCUGCUGCUGACUCAUGGCGUGACCUCAGACAAGUUCUGCUUGGGCCUCAGCCUCCUCAGCUGUGAAAUGGGAGCAGACAGCCCUGCUUCUCAGGGCCGGAGCGAGGAUUACUUGGAAGAAGGAAUCUAAGAGUCUUAGUCCAGUUUUUGGUACCUAGUAGGUGCUCAAUAAAUCAUCAAAUCUCUUCUGGCCUCCCAAUUCCCAAGACAGCCUGAGUUUGAAUCCGGGCGGCCUUGGACAAGUUACUUUCAGCUUUCUGUGCCUCAGUUUCCUCAUCUGUGAAAAGAGGAGACAAACAGGCCCCACCUCCUCUGGUUGCCUUCACUGAGAUGCAGCAGUGCCUGCAUGAGGCCGUUUGCUAAAAAUAAUACUAUGGAGAGCAACAGUUACCAUCAUUUUUGGCCUCCUCUCAUGCUUCUGUGGUGAGCACGUGCCAACCCGUUGAACCGUCACAACAUCGGGGAUGUUAUCACCACCCCCAUUUUGCAGGUAUGCACACAGCUGCCAGGUGACAGGGCUUGGGGUGGGGGGGACCAGGGUCUGUGCUGAGCUGACUGGUAGAGACCCCACCCUCCUUCCCCCACUAGCAGAGAGAGGAAGGCUGAGGUGCCCCCGCUCCCCCAUCCCGAGUGACUGGGUCCCCACUUGACUCUGGUGAGAUCAUCAGGCUAGAAGCUUGAGGCUGACGUCAUGGCCGGGCACAGAAGCCUCAGCGCACCUAUAAUUACAGCAGGGGCGAGGCUGGCUGGCUGGCUCUGAGGCCAGAACGGGGAGAAUCACUGUGUGACCCAGAGAAGAAAGCCAGAGCUGCCUGGGACCUGGGCCGGGGCCAGGGUGAGGUUUCUGGGUGGGUGGCUUGGUCCCCAGCCGUUCGUGUGUGGAUUUGAGCAGGUGGAGCGCUUAGUGUGUUUAUGUGUUUAUUUAUGGGUGAGUCUGCUGAUGGGUGCGUUCUAGAAGACCCUCCUACUCCUUCCUCUCUAGGCCUCCUUCCCACAAGAGCCUUCAUCCACCUUCUCAUUUCAAGGAUGCUGCCAGCAGGAGAGGAGGGAGGGUGUGCAGCUAGAAAACAGAAAUAGCAAACAUUAGCAUUUAUCCAGCACUUUCCACGCUCCAGGUUCUGUUCUAAGCACUUAAAACUUAUGUAUAUUAACACAUGCGAUCCCCCUAUAGCCCUAUAAGGAAAGGACUUUUAUCAUCCCCAUUUUAUUGCUGAGAGAACCAAGGCUCAGUGAGAUUGCACGACUCACCCUUGUCUACGCACCCAGUUAAGUGGCAGAGCUGGGAUUCGAACCUAGGCAGUUUGGCUCUUGACCCCUCUGCUGUACUACGGUUUAUAAUCACUGUCAUGGCUUACAUUUAACUGAGCACUGACUGUGUACCAGACCAUGUGCCCAGCACUUUAUUCAUGACCUCAGUGGACCCUCAUGGCUCAGAGAGGUGAAGCCCCUUGCCGAAGGCCACACAGUGGGACUUGGGAACCCCUGGUCUUGUCCAGUGAUCCUCCCACAUGCCUGCUGUAUGUGCUCCCUCCCCCAGCCCCUGCCCCCAGAUUCUCACUACGUUUCUGGGUCAGGCCAGCCUUCCGUUUUGGGAAGCUGAGGAGGGAGGCAGCUGCUCAUCCUGCUGACCUAGCCUCCUGGAGAGGAGUCAGUAAGCCCUACAGGCUGUCAUCAGCCAGAUGAAAACAUGGGGCCAGGACCAGGAGAAGCCAGGUAGGGGAGGGGGUCCCCAGGCUGGCUCUCUCUGGGAAGGAAAGACCCUGUGGAGUGUGUGUGUGUGUGUGUGCGCACGUGUGUGAGUAUUGGGGCAGGGGUUGGGGGCAAUAUUCGACCCCGGGUCCCAGAACAAGUGUUUUCUUGGCUACUUUCCUCUUAGAGCUUUCACAUGGGAAGGACUGCAGUUAAUUCUCAAACAGCCCAGGGGGAGGGUGACAUCACCCUGCAGUCCGGAAACAGGGGCCCAGGAAGGAGCAGUAGCUGCCUCAAGUCACACGGGAAGUGCCAGGACGCAGACACAAUUCCGUGCUCUUCCUGUGCUGCCUUUCCAUGGCAGCAAGAUUCCACGUUCCGUCCUCCCCUAGGUAUUUCCAGCUGCCCCCCCACACCGUCCCACCCAGC
This is a long non-coding RNA of Neofelis nebulosa (Clouded leopard), 3423 nucleotides long. RefSeq lists it as uncharacterized. The record is from RefSeq and is a predicted model, not a curated record. Lineage: Eukaryota; Metazoa; Chordata; Mammalia; Carnivora; Felidae. The transcript is spliced from 3 exons.